Molecule: long non-coding RNA, 1967 nt
Organism: Dromaius novaehollandiae (emu)
Lineage: Eukaryota; Metazoa; Chordata; Aves; Casuariiformes; Dromaiidae
Source: Ensembl
CCCGCCCCCCCAGGUGCAGCUUGGCCCGGUCGGUCCCCNCUCGGCGGGCUGCUGGGCGCUGGGGUUAUUUAAAACAGCGAGCGGAGAGCAAGGGCAGAGUGAUGCAAUCCUUUAAGCAUGGCUGGGAAUGCUGUGUACAUGAUGCAAUCUCGUGUAACUGUCAGUCAUGAAUUGAGUAAUCUGUUAAAGAUGUUCCUACAGUUUUUUUUAUUAUAAAGAAUAAUCUAUUUCUAUAAGAAAAUACAUAUGUAUAUUUUGGGAUCUAUGCAUUCUUGCUACAUUUGAAGCAUUAAUGAACAAUUUUAAUAAACUUUAUGACUAGGUUAAAAUGUAGCUUGUUUUAUUUGGAGGGCACGUUUAAAGGUAGGUUAAAGGCAGAGCUGAAAAUCUAGCUGAAUCUGGCCCAAUGCUGAGAUCCGGGACCAGGAUUUUUGUCGGUCUUUUGACUUUCGCUGUGACUCAGCAAAAAAAAAAAAAAAGAAAGAAAAAGGCGAAAAAACAAAAAAAUCCAAGAGAAACCCAGUACAGAGCAGAGCUGGGAACUUUAGCCAGUUCUUUCUUUUUGCCUCUUUUUAUUUCCUCUUACCACUUGCCUUAGCUGCUGCUUGGGUGUUGUUUGGGGAGGAGGUGUUUGUUUUGGGCUUUUUGCAAUUCUCCCUGUUCUCGAUGUGUAGAGUGAGAUACGCUGUCCAAACCAUGACCAGUAUUUGGCAGAGUAACUCCAAGUCCGAAGUGGGAGGGAGGAAGAAAAAAGCAAGGAAGGAAGCUUGAAAUGAUUUUUUUCCCCUUGAGGAGUGUCUGUUCUCCAMGUUACGAUUCAGCAUUUCUUAUGUUUGUAGUUUUCAGGAAUAAACAUGAGAACAUAGCAAUUCUGUUGGAUGUCGGUAAUUUGGUGGUUGCUCGGGAAGCUCACGUGAAACCCAGGCAGAGCCUGUGUUCUGCUGAAGGAACUGUUCUGCAUUUUUGACACUUAAGAUCAUAUCAUCCUCCGACAGGUAAAUCUCCCACAGCUCUUACUAAAAUUUGGUUUGCCUUUCCUGCUCCCGCUAUGCCCCCCCAGCUCCUGCCAGCAGCUGUGCAGGGGUAAGGAGUGAGGUGUUCAGCCUGAAAGAGAUUCAUCUCCUUUUUUGCUUUUUAAUUUGCACAGUGCGGUUCAGGCGUUUCUGUGAGACCCUAGGAAUAGGUUGUCCCGGGUGAGCUAGCUGCUGCUGCAGCACGGCUCAAGUUGUUGCAGGCAGGAUAGACGUUAGAUCUUGUCUGGACUGUCCCUCGUGACGAUGAUUUCCCCAGCCUCCUGUGGCUGUUUAUUCUGCUAUUCUCCUUGUUACGAAACGGAUGCACGUUGUUAGAUCCUAUUUUCUGGUUGUGCUGUAGGCCAUGCAACGCUACCCAAACCUCGAAGCAGCGUUCCCGGGCAGAGCAGAGUGCUGCUGGGGGCAGAGGUGCUGCGGGAGCGGAGAUGUCCGGAGAUACAUUUCUCUUCUUCUUUCUAAGUGACAGAGCCUCCAUCAAAAGCUCAGUUUGUGGGGGCUGGGAAGCAGGGUAGAUUGAAAGAUAAGAUGUACUAAAGGUAUUUAUAUUUGUUUAAAUUAUAGUCCAGUUCUGGAGAUAGAGCUCUGUCAGGCCUGAAUGAGCUAAUCCCUGUCCUUAAACUUUGCCUGCUGCAGUUAACGAGAGUCAGAGCAGUGCUGUUGCAAUUUAAAGAAUGAUGUUUAAAUUACUGCUGUAUUCCAAUAUAUCUCCUAAUUUGGGUUACAGAUUUCUCAUUCUGGAGGGAACUUGUGCAGCACUGUGCUUUUGUCGGAAAGAUGCAAUUACAGACAGGAAAACUGAGGACAUAAAUGCACCAAUUUUACUCUAGUCUCACAAAGAAUUUGUGAACAAUUCASAAAGAGAAUUCCUGAAUCCGUCCUUCUUAAUCUUGUGUUAGCCACAUAACUUACAUUUCAGGAACUUUGUAGCAGUUU